UGGAGCUGAUGAGCGAGAAGGACUCCCUCCUCGGGGAUCUGGAAUAAGGUGUGGGCGGUGUGGUACCCAGAGCAGCCAGGUCCUGACCAGGCCCAGCUUCUGCCAUCAGCCCUCGCCCUCAUCAGGAGCCAGUGGGGCGCGGUGGGGCACGGGGUGCCAAAACAAUGUGGAAGCAUAAAGACAGCCAACUGUCAGAGCUGGAGGGACCUUAGGAACCGCGAGUCCAAUGCUUUAUGUUUCAGAAGAGAAUACUGAGGCUCAAAGAGGGGAGGGGAUGUGCACACAGCGAGUGGGUAACACAGCCAGGGGCUCCGGGCUCCUUGAUUAGUGUUCCUUCCACAUCCACACAAGCUGGAGAGCUCCAUUUGCAACAACCAAACCCUGAAAACAACCCCAAUGUCCACAGCAGGUAAAUGGAUAAACCAACUGAGUAUAUCCCUCCCGAGGACUACUUACUACUCAGCAACACAAAGAGAUGAGACAGUGAUACAGGCAGCCUGGACAAGAGGCAAAUCAUCAUGAGCUUCCAGCCGACAAGUCAGACUUCCUGGCGGUGGCAGCAGCAGCCCCAGCAGGAGGGAGGAGGAGCAGAGGCCUGCAGGAGUGUGCUGAGGCAAAGGUGGCACAGGUACCACCUGUCCACUUGGCUCCUCUACCUCCCAACAGCUGAGGAACCUCAGAAGAUCCAAGCCCCUCCUCCAGGACCCCUCCUCCCCCAGGGCUGGCUCCAGCCUCUAAGUGGAGGUGGGCAAGUGAAUAGACUCCCAGGAUGCUGGGGCCAGCUUUCUGCCCAGACCAGGCUGCUGUCAUACUGCUCCCACUUCAAGCAUCAAAAACGAACAGCAGCUGCCUUCACUCCAUCCUGCUCUGGGUGUUAAGAUGGACCCUGUAUCUACCAUACCUGGCCCCGCGUUUUACAGUCGAUCUCUUCAUCUGCAUCCUGAACCUAAGAAGCAGUUAAAAUCAUGCCCACUCUACAAAUGAGGGCUCCACACUUCAGCUAGGCCAGUGGGCUUGUCUAAAUUCCCACAACUAAAAUGCUCAGAUGAGGGAGCUUCGGCUUCUAAGCCAGGCUCAAGAAGGGCCCAGAAAGCGUGAGGGCUAGACGGAUCUUCAC
Molecule: long non-coding RNA, 1117 nt
Filed under: Equus caballus (horse)
Lineage: Eukaryota; Metazoa; Chordata; Mammalia; Perissodactyla; Equidae
Description: lncRNA (ENSECAG00000047326.1)
Source: RNAcentral